This 782-nucleotide long non-coding RNA is filed under the name Gallus gallus (chicken). Its description in RNAcentral is "long non-coding RNA NONGGAT011851". The record is from RNAcentral. Lineage: Eukaryota; Metazoa; Chordata; Aves; Galliformes; Phasianidae.
CUGGCACUUCCCUGUGUCCCUUUGCAUUUACACUGGUUUUCCUCAUUCUUUAAAAUGCAGAUUACUCCAUGAAAUAAAUGCGAUGUGGGGACCUGCUUACAGAGUGCGUUUGUGAUUGCUCGUGGUGAAAGCAAAACAGAACAGCUUUAUCCGUCUUGUAUUCUGAAGAAUUGCUUCCUCUGUGAGAUUGGAGCAGAGGAAUCCAGCAACAUGCAGCAGACUCCUGCGAGCAGUGUCCUGUGCUUGCUUAGGCAAUUAUACUCUGAAUUACUUCUUCGGCUCUCAUUCUGGCCUGUUUUCUGGUCCAGUCCACAGCUGUAUAUCACUCUCUGUUGCCAUCAGAAGAAAUGUUCCAGCUUUGUGUUGGUGUAACAGAAAACUGGAUCUGGCUCACUGAGUUAGCGUGCUACAGGAAAUGAUGCUUGAAUGCUGCUGCAUGCAUUAGGAGAACAAGAAUUCUUUCUCCAACAGAACACACUUUGUUCAGUGCCAGUAAUAUCACAGGUGAGGACCAAACGGAAAACCUUUCAACAUAAACAAAGAAAACAAUAUAACACAACUGGCAAGCUUUUCAUCUCUCGUGUCACAGGGAGAUGCUGUCAGGAUGAGAAGUUAACACAUGGGAGCCAGCUGUAGCAACUAAAUGUCUCAAGGAAACUUGUUCUUACAUAAUGAAAUCCAUUCACAAGGAGUAUCACAGAAAGUUGGAGUGACCUGAUAAAACUCUGAGGAGAUUACCAGAUUCAUUCUUGGAAAGGCAAGAAAGUGAAGCUCAAAGCCUG